Long non-coding RNA from Gavialis gangeticus (Gharial), 725 nucleotides. RefSeq lists it as uncharacterized. The transcript has 2 exons. NCBI's taxonomy places the organism in Eukaryota, Metazoa, Chordata, Crocodylia, Gavialidae. The record is from RefSeq and is a predicted model, not a curated record.
AGCAGAGCUGUGAUUAAUAGGCAUAAAAGCGCAGGAGGCCACAUGUACUGUCCUUGAGCUUUGGUCUUUUUAAUUUUAUAUUUCCCUCCUCUCAUUCAGGAGGUGGAUGGCUUCCUGGCUGUAAGAAGAGGAUGGAAAUGGUGUGAUGCGACAGCACAUGAAAAAUGUGAGGCCUGCAACAAUGCCCUUGUGCUAAAUUGGGUGGUUUAAACGUUGAGGAGGAAGGAGGCUUGAACAGAGCAAUCAGACUACUACAAGAUCCUCUCAUGGCUGAGACACUGACAGAGAAGUGGCUAGCACAGGAAUAACAACUGCUUUGCAUCCUUCAGAGCAAGGGUGAAAGGCAACUAUUGAGGCUCUUGGCCUCUCCUUGCAGAAGAUGAUGAAGGAAACCCUAUAAGCCAAGCACAUGAGGCACAUAUCCCAAGAGUGCAGACCAACAUACCACUUGAACCAUUCCCAGAAUGUCACUGAUUGGAAAAUGGUCCACAAUUGACAUGGGGCAGAGAUGUCCACUCUUAACAUUGCCAAGGGUCCAAGAAGAAGGGUCAUCUUUAGGGAUUGGAGUCUCCUGGUUGUGAGCCUCUGGAGUUUCCCCACAAUUCCCUAAGCAAAAUUGGCUGGACACCAAGGAAAAUGAACAGGAAGAUGUCAACUGCAUGUAAAUGACAUGUUCUGUUUUCCUUUCUCUCUUACACUUGAGUUCAAUAAAGAAGGUUCCUGUA